UGUGCUGCUCUGGUUGGUGAAGACCAGCCUCUUUGCCCAGAUCUUCCUGAACUUGAUCUUUCUGAACUAGAUGUGAACGACUUGGAUACAGACAGCUUUCUGGGUGGACUCAAGUGGUGCAGUGACCAAUCAGAAAUAAUAUCCAAUCAGUACAACAAUGAGCCUUCAAACAUAUUUGAGGUGAUAUAAUGGUAAAAUAAAGUUGAAAAAAGCACAUAGAAAAACCAAAACUGUGUGAACAGCAGAGCUGCUUGCCUGAGAGGCUGAUGAACGUGAACUAAAUAGCUUCAAGCUACAAUGUACAGUGGGCAGCAUAGCAAUAAAUCUAAGCAAAGCACACAAAACAUCUUCUAUUAAUAAAUAGUUCAUUGAAAUGAUAA
This 380-nucleotide long non-coding RNA is filed under the name Homo sapiens (human). RNAcentral describes it as "non-protein coding lnc-PPARGC1A-4:5". The record is from RNAcentral. Lineage: Eukaryota; Metazoa; Chordata; Mammalia; Primates; Hominidae.